This 495-nucleotide ribosomal RNA is filed under the name uncultured bacterium. Its description in RNAcentral is "partial 16S ribosomal RNA". It matches the Rfam family "Bacterial small subunit ribosomal RNA", at positions 28 to 505 of the family's 1533-position model. The record is from RNAcentral.
GAUGAACGCUGGCGGCGUGCCUAAUACAUGCAAGUCGAGCGAACAGACGAGGAGCUUGCUCCUCUGACGUUAGCGGCGGACGGGUGAGUAACACGUGGAUAACCUACCUAUAAGACUGGGAUAACUUCGGGAAACCGGAGCUAAUACCGGAUAAUAUAUUGAACCGCAUGGUUCAAUAGUGAAAGACGGUUUUGCUGUCACUUAUAGAUGGAUCCGCGCCGCAUUAGCUAGUUGGUAAGGUAACGGCUUACCAAGGCGACGAUGCGUAGCCGACCUGAGAGGGUGAUCGGCCACACUGGAACUGAGACACGGUCCAGACUCCGACGGGAGGCAGCAGUAGGGAAUCUUCCGCAAUGAGCGAAAGCCUGACGGAGCAACGCCGCGUGAGUGAUGAAGGUCGUCGGAUCGUAAAACUCUGUUAUUAGGGAAGAACAAAUGUGUAAGUAACUAGGCACGUCGUGACGGUACCUAAUCAGAAAGCCACGGCUAACUACG